ACCAAGAACACCUCUCCUCUCUCUGGAUCAUUCAGGGAACAGGAAGUUAUAAAGGAAACAGGAAGUUCAGGGUUCUUUCUCUAAUCUGCACACAGCACGCAGCAACAGAAAUGUAAGUUCCUGUACUGAAGUUAAGGUUUAGCAUUAGCAUGUAGCUUAGCAUUAGCAACAACUUGUAUUAGUUUAUUGUUUGAAUUUAUACAGAACUUUGGUAAUGACUAAACUUCUUGUGUCUUGUAGUUUUCACUCCUUCAAUCUGGUGAAGAAAUGAAAAGAGGAGAUCAUCUCUUUGCUCCCUUCAGAGCACUUCCUGUUGAUAAAUCCAGAGCUACAGAUUCACAGAUAUAAGAAGACCGAGGAGUUCAGAUGAAAAGAAACAAAGCUACAUGGACAGACAGGUGAUCAUUCAAAUGAUUUCGUCUGCUUGCGUUGGAUGGAUGUUUCUCGAUCUUCUCCUGAGUCCAUUUGAACUUUUGUGAUCUGUUGCUUUGGUAACCUCAGCAUCGUUAACAAAAACAGGCCAAUCAGAGUCCACAUUUUGAAGGUCUCGGUCUGGGACUAGAAGGUAAAAACAUCAAAUAACUUCAGUCCCCGGUUACGACCACAACCUUCCUGGUGUUACGCUCCAACUGUUUGUACAGGUUGCUCCUCCUCGUAUUUGAUCCGCUCGUGGCAACAAUAUUAUUUGACUUUUCUUUCACAAAGCUGAACUGUACCUGUAGGUCUGUCUUGAUGAGCGAGGCUCCUGCUUGGACCAGAUAAUGACAGAUAGUUCUUUGAGACAGGGACGCAG
This is a non-coding RNA of Labrus bergylta (ballan wrasse), 793 nucleotides long. NCBI's taxonomy places the organism in Eukaryota, Metazoa, Chordata, Actinopteri, Labriformes, Labridae. The record is from RefSeq and is a predicted model, not a curated record.